UGGCAUGUAUAGCUUGAGCUACAUCCCUUUCGCAAGGUCUUUGGUUUCAAAUCAUUGCAAGGUGUGCAUGCAAACAUUUAUGUGCACCACUACGAAGGUGAAGUGCAGGGAGCAUGCGGAAGGAAAGCACCCCAAAUCUGAUGUUUAUACUUGCUUCCCGCAUCCCAAAAAAUGAAUGAAUGUGGAGAUGAAUUGAGAGUAUCAUCAUAUGUAAAUCUUUCUAUUAUGACAUGGUUACAUCGUGGUUGCUUUAUGCAUGUUGUGGUACUGUCUGUUUGGGAGAGGGAGAUGGAGAGGGAGAGUGAUGUAUUCUUGCCCUUUGUUCAAGUGGAACUCAGUGUUCAAUUAUAAUGAAUAUUGAUGCCAUUGGU
This is a long non-coding RNA of Juglans microcarpa x Juglans regia, 371 nucleotides long. RefSeq lists it as uncharacterized. The record is from RefSeq and is a predicted model, not a curated record. The transcript has 2 exons. Lineage: Eukaryota; Viridiplantae; Streptophyta; Magnoliopsida; Fagales; Juglandaceae.